AUACUGCUGAGGAGUCCCACAAUAGGACGAAAUGGCCGUCCAU
RNAcentral lists this non-coding RNA (43 nucleotides) under Schistosoma margrebowiei. The record is from RNAcentral. Lineage: Eukaryota; Metazoa; Platyhelminthes; Trematoda; Strigeidida; Schistosomatidae.